GUGCUCGCUUCAGCAGCACAUAUACUAAAAUUGGAACGAUACAGAGAAGAUUAGCACGGCCCCUGCGCAAGGAUGACACACAAAUUCGUGAAGCAUUCCAUAUUUUU
RNAcentral lists this small nuclear RNA (107 nucleotides) under Capra hircus (goat). The record is from RNAcentral. Lineage: Eukaryota; Metazoa; Chordata; Mammalia; Artiodactyla; Bovidae.